Molecule: ribosomal RNA, 460 nt
Filed under: uncultured bacterium
Lineage: Bacteria
Description: partial 16S ribosomal RNA
Rfam family: Bacterial small subunit ribosomal RNA
Source: RNAcentral
CCUACGGGUGGCAGCAGUGAGGAAUCUUGGGCAAUGGACGAGAGUCUGAACCAGCCAAGUAGCGUGAAGGAUGACUGCCCUAUGGGUUGUAAACUUCUUUUAUAUGGGAAUAAAACAGGGUAUGCAUACCCUCUUGUAUGUACCAUAUGAAUAAGGAUCGGCUAACUCCGUGCCAGCAGCCGCGGUAAUACGGAGGAUCCGAGCGUUAUCCGGAUUUAUUGGGUGUACAGGGAGCGUAGGUGGAUUGUUAAGUCAGGUGUGAAAGUUUGCGGCACAACCGUAAAACUGCAGUUGAAACUGGCAGUCUUGAGUACAGGAGAGGUAGGCGGAAUUCGUGGUGUAGCGGUGAAAUGCGUAGAUAUCACGAAGAACACCGGUGGCGAAGGCGGCUUACUGGACUGCAACUGACACUGAUGCGCGAAAGUGUGGGUAGCGAACAGGAUUAGAUACCCGAGUAGUC